Molecule: ribosomal RNA, 253 nt
Filed under: uncultured bacterium
Lineage: Bacteria
Description: partial 16S ribosomal RNA
Rfam family: Bacterial small subunit ribosomal RNA
Source: RNAcentral
UACGAAGGGGGCUAGCGUUGCUCGGAUUGACUGGGCGUAAAGGGCGCGUAGGCGGUUCGUACAGUCAGGCGUGAAAGCCCCGGGCUCAACCUGGGAACCGCGCUUGAGACUGGCAUGCUCGAGUUCGGGAGAGGAUGGUGGAAUUCCCAGUGUAGAGGUGAAAUUCGUAGAUAUUGGGAAGAACACCGAUGGCGAAGGCAGCCAUCUGGACCGACACUGACGCUGAGGCGCGAAAGCGUGGGGAGCAAACAGG